AGAUUGAACGCUGGCGGCAGGCCUAACACAUGCAAGUCGAGCGGCAGCACGAGUACUUGUACCUGGUGGCGAGCGGCGGACGGGUGAGUAAUGCCUAGGAAUCUGCCUGGUAGUGGGGGAUAACGCUCGGAAACGGACGCUAAUACCGCAUACGUCCUACGGGAGAAAGCAGGGGACCUUCGGGCCUUGCGCUAUCAGAUGAGCCUAGGUCGGAUUAGCUAGUUGGUGAGGUAAUGGCUCACCAAGGCGACGAUCCGUAACUGGUCUGAGAGGAUGAUCAGUCACA
Molecule: ribosomal RNA, 286 nt
Filed under: uncultured soil bacterium
Lineage: Bacteria
Description: partial 16S ribosomal RNA
Rfam family: Bacterial small subunit ribosomal RNA
Source: RNAcentral